Molecule: ribosomal RNA, 433 nt
Filed under: uncultured bacterium
Lineage: Bacteria
Description: partial 16S ribosomal RNA
Rfam family: Bacterial small subunit ribosomal RNA
Source: RNAcentral
AACGAACGCUGGCGGCAUGCCUAACACAUGCAAGUCGAACGAGACCUUCGGGUCUAGUGGCGCACGGGUGCGUAACGCGUGGGAACCUGCCCUUAGGUUCGGAAUAACUCCCCGAAAGGGGUGCUAAUACCGGAUAAUGUCUUCGGACCAAAGAUUUAUCGCCUUUGGAUGGGCCCGCGUUGGAUUAGCUAGUUGGUAGGGUAAAAGCCUACCAAGGCGAGGAUCCAUAGCUGGUCUGAGAGGAUGAUCAGCCACACUGGGACUGAGACACGGCCCAGACUCCUACGGGAGGCAGCAGUGGGGAAUAUUGGACAAGGGGCGAAAGCCUGAUCCAGCAAUGCCGCGUGAGUGAUGAAGGCCGUAGGGUUGUAAAGCUCUUUUACCCGGGAUGAUAAUGACAGUACCGGGAGAAUAAGCGCCGGCUAACUCCGUG